This 494-nucleotide ribosomal RNA is filed under the name Vibrio alginolyticus. RNAcentral describes it as "partial 23S ribosomal RNA". It matches the Rfam family "Bacterial large subunit ribosomal RNA", at positions 363 to 865 of the family's 2925-position model. The record is from RNAcentral. Lineage: Bacteria; Pseudomonadati; Pseudomonadota; Gammaproteobacteria; Vibrionales; Vibrionaceae.
GGUGAUAGUCCCGUAGUUGACGACGUGUGUUCAGUGAAAUCGAGUAGGGCGGGACACGUGAUAUCCUGUCUGAAUAUGGGGGGACCAUCCUCCAAGGCUAAAUACUACUGACUGACCGAUAGUGAACCAGUACCGUGAGGGAAAGGCGAAAAGAACCCCUGUGAGGGGAGUGAAAUAGAACCUGAAACCGUGUACGUACAAGCAGUAGGAGCAGGCUUUGUCCUGUGACUGCGUACCUUUUGUAUAAUGGGUCAGCGACUUAUAUUCAGUGGCAAGGUUAACCAUCUAGGGGAGCCGUAGGGAAACCGAGUCUUAACUGGGCGUUCAGUCUCUGGAUAUAGACCCGAAACCAGGUGAUCUAGCCAUGGGCAGGUUGAAGGUUGAGUAACAUCAACUGGAGGACCGAACCGACUAAUGUUGAAAAAUUAGCGGAUGACUUGUGGCUAGGGGUGAAAGGCCAAUCAAACCUGGAGAUAGCUGGUUCUCCCCGAAAG